AAAGAAAGCGUAAUAGCUCACUGGUCGAGUCGGCCUGCGCGGAAGAUGUAACGGGGCUAAACCAUGCACCGAAGCUGCGGCAGCGACGCUUAUGCGUUGUUGGGUAGGGGAGCGUUCUGUAAGCCUGUGAAGGUGUACUGUGAGGUAUGCUGGAGGUAUCAGAAGUGCGAAUGCUGACAUAAGUAACGAUAAAGCGGGUGAAAAGCCCGCUCGCCGGAAGACCAAGGGUUCCUGUCCAACGUUAAUCGGGGCAGGGUGAGUCGA
Molecule: ribosomal RNA, 264 nt
Filed under: Escherichia coli
Lineage: Bacteria; Pseudomonadati; Pseudomonadota; Gammaproteobacteria; Enterobacterales; Enterobacteriaceae
Description: partial 23S ribosomal RNA
Rfam family: Bacterial large subunit ribosomal RNA
Source: RNAcentral